Molecule: Y RNA, 117 nt
Filed under: Microcebus murinus (gray mouse lemur)
Lineage: Eukaryota; Metazoa; Chordata; Mammalia; Primates; Cheirogaleidae
Description: Y RNA (ENSMICG00000026032.3)
Rfam family: Y RNA
About the family: Y RNAs are components of the Ro ribonucleoprotein particle (Ro RNP), in association with Ro60 and La proteins. The Y RNAs and Ro60 and La proteins are well conserved, but the function of the Ro RNP is not known.
Source: Rfam by way of RNAcentral
GGCUGGUCCUAAGGUAGUGAGUUAUCCCAACCAAUUGUUCACAAUCAGUCACAAAUCAGUUACAACUCUUUGUCUUACCCUCCCCUCCCGCUCACUAUUGCACUUGACUAGCCUUAA